This is a long non-coding RNA of Alosa sapidissima (American shad), 87 nucleotides long. RefSeq lists it as uncharacterized. The transcript is spliced from 3 exons. NCBI's taxonomy places the organism in Eukaryota, Metazoa, Chordata, Actinopteri, Clupeiformes, Clupeidae. The record is from RefSeq and is a predicted model, not a curated record.
UUUGUAGUCUUAUGUAAGUGUAGCAGGGUUAAUGUUGUUUCCCUGAAUUUCCCCACAUGAGUUGUGCUUUUCUUUUUGAGUUUUUGU